GCGAGGGGGGGACCGGCUAACCCGUCCUUGCGUCAUAUGCAGCGGAGCCGCGCGGAGACGGCCGGGGACCGCCCGAGAGGGUGGGAACUGUGCUGGAGCCGAGCGGAUUCGACAGAUCACUUCGGCGGAGGUGUUGUGAGAUCUCCUGGGCGACUGGGAGGCCCCGUGACCGCCGCCGGUAUUUUCAAGCCAAAAUCCUUUUGUAACAGGUGUGAGAAGUCUGAGUGAAUUGAAGAAGUACGAAAAAGCAAAACUUUCAACAACGGAUCUCUUGGCUCUGGCAACGAUGAAGAACGCAGCGAAACGCGAAAGGUAAUGCGAAUUGCAGAAUCAGUGAGUCAUCGAAUUUUUGAACGCACAUUGCGCCUCUCGGUAUUCCGGGAGGCACGCCUGUUCGAGCGCCAUUACACACUCCAAGCUCUGCUUGAUGCUGGGUGAAGCGCAGCCCUCUGGCGACGGGGGGCGCGCACGCCUGUAACACGUUGGCGGCCGCCGCCGGACGACGAGCGUAGCACGACUGCAUGGUCAAGGUCGCUGUGUCGGCUCCGGUGGAGGGUCUCUGCCUUUGUAACAGAAAAGUAACCAUUUGGCCUCGGAUCAGGCGGGGAUACCCGCUGAACUUAA
This 624-nucleotide ribosomal RNA is filed under the name Mycosisymbrium cirrhosum. RNAcentral describes it as "eukaryotic LSU rRNA". The stretch from base 252 to 404 matches the Rfam family "5.8S ribosomal RNA". Lineage: Eukaryota; Fungi; Ascomycota; Dothideomycetes; Venturiales. The record is from RNAcentral.